UACGUAGGUGGCAAGCGUUGUCCGGAUUUAUUGGGCGUAAAGAGCUCGUAGGCGGUUUGUCGCGUCUGCCGUGAAAGUCCGGGGCUCAACUCCGGAUCUGCGGUGGGUACGGGCAGACUAGAGUGAUGUAGGGGAGACUGGAAUUCCUGGUGUAGCGGUGAAAUGCGCAGAUAUCAGGAGGAACACCGAUGGCGGAGGCAGGUCUCUGGGCAUUAACUGACGCUGAGGAGCGAAAGCAUGGGGAGCGAACAGG
This 253-nucleotide ribosomal RNA is filed under the name uncultured bacterium. RNAcentral's name for it is "partial 16S ribosomal RNA". It matches the Rfam family "Bacterial small subunit ribosomal RNA", at positions 524 to 776 of the family's 1533-position model. The record is from RNAcentral.